ACAGCUGCGCGCCGCGGCGGCGGAAGAUGGCUGCGGCCGAAGUGGCGGACACUCAGCUGAUGCUUGGAGUCGGGCUGAUCGUGACCAUCUUUCCACCGUAGAAAAGGACACAAAUGGAGAAGUUCUGUGGGUGUGGUGUUAUCCUUCCACGACAGCCACAUUAAGGAACCUGCUGCUGAGAAAAUGCUGCCUUACAGAUGAAAACAAACUUCUUCAUCCCUUUGUCUUUGGUCAGUACAGAAGAACGUGGUUUUAUAUCACAACAAUUGAAGUUCCAGAUUCUUCCAUUUUGAAAAAGAAUGUACCUGAAACAUGGGAGCCCAGUUAAAAUGAUGGAGAGUUAUAUUGCAGUUCUCACAAAGGGGAUAUGCCAGAGUGAAGAAAAUGGCUCUUUCCUUAGUAAGGAUUUUGAUGCCCGAAAGGCCUACCUGGCUGGCUCCAUCAAAGACAUUGUAUCUCAGUUUGGAAUGGAAACUGUUAUCUUACAUACAGCACUGAUGCUAAAGAAAAGAAUUGUGGUGUAUCACCCCAAGAUAGAAGCGGUCCAGGAGUUUACCAGGACUCUGCCUGCCCUGGUGUGGCACCGACAGGACUGGACCAUCCUUCACUCUUACGUGCACCUCAACGCCGAUGAGCUGGAAGCCCUGCAGAUGUGCACAGGUUACGUCGCUGGAUUUGUAGACUUGGAGGUG
RNAcentral lists this small RNA (692 nucleotides) under Pongo abelii (Sumatran orangutan). Its description in RNAcentral is "processed transcript". The record is from RNAcentral. Lineage: Eukaryota; Metazoa; Chordata; Mammalia; Primates; Hominidae.